Malus domestica (apple) is the source of this 503-nucleotide non-coding RNA. The record is from RefSeq and is a predicted model, not a curated record. NCBI's taxonomy places the organism in Eukaryota, Viridiplantae, Streptophyta, Magnoliopsida, Rosales, Rosaceae.
GUAAACAGCAAUAACUGCCAAGUUGAUGGACUGUAAAAUGGACCAGAUGAAUCAAGUGGUGAUUGUGCGCCGCUGUACUGAGAGAGUAUUUGGGGAAGAACAAUGGCUUACACUAAGAACAAAGUUAGCAACUUGGAGGGGUAAUAUUGCAAAUGUUAUCAGCACCAUUCGAGCUAACAGGAUAGCUGACGAUGGAUCACAGGCAGUGCAAGGCUUAGUUAUUCGUUAGAAACUUACGGAUCUUAGUGUAGGUGCUUGACUGACUUACGAGAGUUUCAAUGAACGAGUGUUAUUGAUUCCCCCUUAUUUUGGAAUUGAAUCAAAUGUUUUGAAAAUUUUGGCAGGAAAAUAGUUUCGUGUUGGUUACAAAUGGUAUAACAUUGUACUCUUGCGAAAUGAUGAUCGACUGCUUAUAUCAGUAGUAACCUCGGUUGCGUUUAACAGGAAAAUUCUCUUGUCCAGAAGUUGUAAUGGAGCAUAUUCCAGCCAAAUUGGGGAUCGUA